This 293-nucleotide ribosomal RNA is filed under the name uncultured bacterium. RNAcentral describes it as "partial 16S ribosomal RNA". It matches the Rfam family "Bacterial small subunit ribosomal RNA", at positions 775 to 1067 of the family's 1533-position model. The record is from RNAcentral.
GGAUUAGAUACCCUGGUAGUCCACGCCGUAAACGAUGACAACUAGCCGUCGGGGUCCUUGAGACCUUGGUGGCGCAGCUAACGCGAUAAGUUGUCCGCCUGGGGAGUACGGCCGCAAGGUUAAAACUCAAAUGAAUUGACGGGGGCCCGCACAAGCGGUGGAGCAUGUUGUUUAAUUCGAUGCAACGCGAAGAACCUUACCACCCCUUGACAUACUCGGAACUUGGCAGAGAUGCCUUGGUGCCUUCGGGAACCGAGAUACAGGUGCUGCAUGGCUGUCGUCAGCUCGUGCUG